GUAACCUGCCCCCGACUCUGGGAUAAGCCCGGGAAACUGGGUCUAAUACCGGAUAUUACCUCUUGCCGCAUGGCAGGUGGUGGAAAGAUUUAUCGGUGGGGGAUGGACUCGCGGCCUAUCAGCUUGUUGGUGAGGUAAUGGCUCACCAAGGCGACGACGGGUAGCCGGCCUGAGAGGGUGACCGGCCACACUGGGACUGAGACACGGCCCAGACUCCUACGGGAGGCAGCAGUGGGGAAUAUUGCACAAUGGGCGAAAGCCUGAUGCAGCGACGCCGCGUGAGGGAUGACGGCCUUCGGGUUGUAAACCUCUUUCAGUAGGGAAGAAGCGAAAGUGACGGUACCUGCAGAAGAAGCGCCGGCUAACUACGUGCCAGCAGCCGCGGUAAUACGUAGGGCGCAAGCGUUAUCCGGAUUUAUUGGGCGUAAAGAGCUCGUAGGCGGUUUGUCGCGUCUGCCGUGAAAGUCCGAGGCUCAACCUCGGAUCUGCGGUGGGUACGGGCAGACUAGAGUGAUGUAGGGGAGACUGGAAUUCCUGGUGUAGCGGUGAAAUGCGCAGAUAUCAGGAGGAACACCGAUGGCGAAGGCAGGUCUCUGGGCAUUUACUGACGCUGAGGAGCGAAAGCAUGGGGAGCGAACAGGAUUAGAUACCCUGGUAGUCCAUGCCGUAAACGUUGGGCACUAGGUGUGGGGGACAUUCCACGUUUUCCGCGCCGUAGCUAACGCAUUAAGUGCCCCGCCUGGGGAGUACGGCCGCAAGGCUAAAACUCAAAGGAAUUGACGGGGGCCCGCACAAGCGGCGGAGCAUGCGGAUUAAUUCGAUGCAACGCGAAGAACCUUACCAAGGCUUGACAUGUGCCAGACC
RNAcentral lists this ribosomal RNA (864 nucleotides) under Glutamicibacter arilaitensis. RNAcentral's name for it is "bacterial SSU rRNA". It matches the Rfam family "Bacterial small subunit ribosomal RNA", at positions 121 to 997 of the family's 1533-position model. Lineage: Bacteria; Bacillati; Actinomycetota; Actinomycetes; Micrococcales; Micrococcaceae. The record is from RNAcentral.